AUUGAACGCUGGCGGCAGGCCUAACACAUGCAAGUCGAGCGGAUGAAGGGAGCUUGCUCCUGGAUUCAGCGGCGGACGGGUGAGUAAUGCCUAGGAAUCUGCCUGGUAGUGGGGGAUAACGUCCGGAAACGGGCGCUAAUACCGCAUACGUCCUGAGGGAGAAAGUGGGGGAUCUUCGGACCUCACGCUAUCAGAUGAGCCUAGGUCGGAUUAGCUAGUUGGUGGGGUAAAGGCCUACCAAGGCGACGAUCCGUAACUGGUCUGAGAGGAUGAUCAGUCACACUUGAACUGAGACACGGUCCAGACUCCUACGGGAGGCAGCAGUGGGGAAUAUUUGACAAUGGGCGAAAGCCUGAUCCAGCCAUGCCGCGUGUGUGAAGAAGGUCUUCGGAUUGUAAAGCACUUUAAGUUGGGAGGAAGGGCAGUAAGUUAAUACCUUGCUGUUUUGACGUUACCAACAGAAUAAGCACCGGCUAACUUCGUG
This 484-nucleotide ribosomal RNA is filed under the name uncultured bacterium. RNAcentral describes it as "partial 16S ribosomal RNA". It matches the Rfam family "Bacterial small subunit ribosomal RNA", at positions 30 to 507 of the family's 1533-position model. The record is from RNAcentral.